This 470-nucleotide ribosomal RNA is filed under the name uncultured organism. Its description in RNAcentral is "partial 16S ribosomal RNA". It matches the Rfam family "Bacterial small subunit ribosomal RNA", at positions 334 to 796 of the family's 1533-position model. The record is from RNAcentral.
CACUCCUACGGGAGGCAGCAGUGGGGAAUUUUGGACAAUGGGCGAAAGCCUGAUCCAGCAAUGCCGCGUGAGUGAAGAAGGCCUUCGGGUUGUAAAGCUCUUUUGUCAGGGAAGAAACGGUGAGAGCUAAUAUCUUUUGCUAAUGACGGUACCUGAAGAAUAAGCACCGGCUAACUACGUGCCAGCAGCCGCGGUAAUACGUAGGGUGCAAGCGUUAAUCGGAAUUACUGGGCGUAAAGCGUGCGCAGGCGGUUUUGUAAGUCUGAUGUGAAAUCCCCGGGCUCAACCUGGGAAUUGCAUUGGAGACUGCAAGGCUAGAAUCUGGCAGAGGGGGGUAGAAUUCCACGUGUAGCAGUGAAAUGCGUAGAUAUGUGGAGGAACACCGAUGGCGAAGGCAGCCCCCUGGGUCAAGAUUGACGCUCAUGCACGAAAGCGUGGGGAGCAAACAGGAUUAGAAACCCGGGUAGUCC